Molecule: ribosomal RNA, 819 nt
Filed under: Triticum aestivum (bread wheat)
Lineage: Eukaryota; Viridiplantae; Streptophyta; Magnoliopsida; Poales; Poaceae
Description: partial small subunit ribosomal RNA
Source: RNAcentral
AUGGAUUAUACAACCAGGGUCAUUGCUUUCCAUGGACUGUUUCACACUAUUGUCUGUCAGACAGACAAUUCCCCAUGCCCACUUUUAGCUUUAUGUAAUUCAUUAAUUCUAUUGGGCGAGCUCAACUUAAAUUUAAGGCAAGGUGUCUGUACUAUAUCAGAGAAGAAACUUAUUGAGCGUGUCUCUGAUUAUUAUAUGACUAAGGCCACUCACAAGGUGUCGAAAAUUAGGAAAACUACAAAUAAGUCCGUCAAACGCUUGGCACAACCCAUUCAAUGUAAAAUGAUGCUCACAAGUGUUGAGCAUAUGGAGAACAGCGGAGAACUCAAAUUAUUUGAGCAAUUGGGUAUUAAAGUUUAUCAUGCCAAUGUUGUUGAUCCCAAGGAAGAAGAACUGGUUAGAGCCGUAGGGACAAAUACAUUUGACACCCUUUUGGCUGGUCUUGCUGCACAUAAAGCUAAGACAGAUGUGCAGAGUCAUUCUCCCGGUUCUUCACAGGUGGAUGAGAGUGCAUCAUCGCAUUUGGAGGCAGUCGAUUAUGACAGUAUUCAGUCUAUAAAACAACAGAUGAUAGAUAAGAAUGAAACCCUACAUGGAACUUUACUUCUGUUACAAAAUACUUCAGAUCAGGUUGAAAAGCCUAUUGCAUGGCAGCAUAUCAAUGAUGUUUUGGACAGCUCAUGGACACAAGGGAAUGACUAUGUUGCAAAAUCUGUGUAUUUUAGAGGUUGCCGGACAUUCAUUAUUUAUCCUAAUAUGAAUGGCUCAUCCGCACUGGUAGCACUAUGUAAGUGUGUCUCAAUUGUGAUGCAAAUUUAG